GUUGGGAGGAAUUGCCAAUACAGAGAUGGACUGGAAUAUCAUACAAAAGAUUUGGAUGACCUUGAAAACUGGAAUAAUAGAAAUGGGAUGAAAUUUAAUAGUGCAAAGUGCAAGGUGCUGCAUUUAGGGACUAAGAAGAAACAGUUUUGCU
Molecule: non-coding RNA, 151 nt
Organism: Chelonoidis abingdonii (Abingdon island giant tortoise)
Lineage: Eukaryota; Metazoa; Chordata; Testudines; Testudinidae
Source: RefSeq, a predicted model, not a curated record